RNAcentral lists this long non-coding RNA (744 nucleotides) under Gallus gallus (chicken). Its description in RNAcentral is "long non-coding RNA NONGGAT008941". The record is from RNAcentral. Lineage: Eukaryota; Metazoa; Chordata; Aves; Galliformes; Phasianidae.
UACAGCUGCAGCAUCCUUAGAGAUGCACAGCCUGGCAUUAAUUUUGACCAAGUGAACAGAACCGGCACCUAACUCCACCUCAGCCUAUGCUGCUGGUUCUGUAACUGUCUCUAUUCCCCAAUCUAUUAAACAAAUAGGGGUAGUGACACACAGUGGUGCUCAUCUUCACAGUUAAGCAAAUGCAGGUCUAAAAAGCCUCCUGCAGUUAAAAUCACCUCUGGCUCAAAGAAAACAGUCCACGCAAAACUGAACGUGUCAGAAUGUGAUUUACCACUCACAGCAAAAAUGUGACUGAUCCUCAGCUCUUUUAAGUGUAAACACACAUUUUUCCCUACGGAGGACAAAUACAACCUUGGAGGUUCGAGGACACAGUAACCCUUUUCAGGCAACUUCAGCUUUGGAUCUCCCUCCUGCGUGCACAGAGUUUUCUCCAAGGAAAUGAAUGCCCCUUCAGCAAGUCGGAAGAAAACCCAAAUCCCUCUUUGGGUUCCAAAUCCAGAAGCGUUCGAUUCCGGGAUUCUGAGCAGUGUGAAACAACCGAUCUGCGUCCAUCUCAGGGUCUCCUGGCACAGCUCUUCCGCCGCGUUAAGCAUCAGUCUGCACACUCCCGUCGUUCCGGCAGAGGGCGAUAUAAUUAAGCCAUUUAUUAAAGGCUCUCCAAGGCGAUCGCCGUAGCUGGCGCUUACAGAGCUCCCCGGGUUUUGUUGUUGCUCCGCGUUUGUGUUCUAAUGCCAAAUGCUUCGA